AUUGAACGCUGGCGGAAUGCUUUACACAUGCAAGUCGAACGGCAGCACGGACUUCGGUCUGGUGGCGAGUGGCGAACGGGUGAGUAAUACAUCGGAACGUGCCCAAUCGUGGGGGAUAACGUAGCGAAAGCUACGCUAAUACCGCAUACGAUCUAAGGAUGAAAGCGGGGGAUCGCAAGACCUCGCGCGAUUGGAGCGGCCGAUGGCAGAUUAGGUAGUUGGUGGGGUAAAGGCCUACCAAGCCGACGAUCUGUAGCUGGUCUGAGAGGAUGAUCAGCCAAACUGGAACUGAGACACGGCCCAGACUCCUACGGGAGGCAGCAGUGGGGAAUGUUGGACAAUGGACGCAAGUCUGAUCCAGCCAUGCCGCGUGCAGGAUGAAGGCCCUCGGGUUGUAAACUGCUUUUGUACAGAACGAAAAGGCUCUGGUUAAUACCUAGGGCUCAUGACGGUACUGUAAGAAUAAGCACCGGCUAACUACGUGCCAGCCGCCGCAGUAA
RNAcentral lists this ribosomal RNA (500 nucleotides) under uncultured bacterium. Its description in RNAcentral is "partial 16S ribosomal RNA". It matches the Rfam family "Bacterial small subunit ribosomal RNA", at positions 30 to 523 of the family's 1533-position model. The record is from RNAcentral.